Molecule: ribosomal RNA, 167 nt
Filed under: uncultured bacterium
Lineage: Bacteria
Description: partial 16S ribosomal RNA
Rfam family: Bacterial small subunit ribosomal RNA
Source: RNAcentral
UACGGGAGGCAGCAGUAAGGAAUCUUAGACAAUGGGGGAAACCCUGAUCUAGCCAUGCCGCGUGUGUGAUGAAGGCCUUAGGGUCGUAAAGCACUUUCGCCAGAGAUGAUAAUGACAGUAUCUGGUAAAGAAACCCCGGCUAACUCCGUGCCAGCAGCCGCGGUAAU